CACCUCCUCCCUUGCCCCCUCCUGGCAUUCGACCCUCCUCUCCUGUCACGGUUGCAGCCCUUUCUCACCCUCCUCCUGUUCUGCACCCUCCUCCCACAACCAUUGUCCCUGGCCCUCAUGCCCCGCUAAUGCCUCCAUCUCCACCAUCCCAAGUGAUUCCUGCUCCUGAACCCAAACGCCAUCCUUCAACUCUUCCUGUAAUCAGUGAUGCUAGGAGCGUUCUGCUGGAAGCAAUACGGAAAGGUAUUCAGCUACGCAAAGUUGAAGAGCAACGUGAACAAGAAGCUAAGCAUGAGCGCAUUGAAAAUGAUGUUGCUACUAUACUUUCUCGUCGCAUUGCUGUGGAAUACAGUGAUUCAGAAGAUGAUUCAGAAUUUGAUGAAGUGGAUUGGUUAGAGUAAAAUCAUUACAUUGCUGUACACUGCAAAAUCGAAUGCUAAUGUCCAUUGUGGUGCUUGUUCUUUGAAAGUUUGAUGGUCAUUUCUAGUGUUUUUUGUAUUCUUUUCUUUACAUAAUUAAUCCAUGUUUUUCUACUUUUCAGUUUACAAAAAGCUCCUAGUGCAUCUUUGAAACUAAAUGUUUUACAGUGGCUUUUCUUACACAUCUUUUUUUGAAAGAACAUACUUUGUUCCAAUAGACCACUAAGUAUUAAGCAUGGGCAGCUGUUGGUAGAGUAGCAGUUUCAAUUUUUUGGCAUAUCUUAACUGUGCACUUUGUGAAUUUUAAGUUAAUGAAGGCAACUGAGAUUGACAUUCCAAGGGCAGCUGUAUGUACUAAUGAGCCUUAUUCCACUUCUGAUAGUGUUUUAAAACAUUAAACCUAGCUAUCAAGAUAUCACUGCCUCGAUUACAUCUGUACACUAAAAGUACAUAUAGUUAGCAGCACUGAACACACCGAAAGGAAGAUGGAUCUUUGGGGGGUUUUAUUAUUGUUUUAUUGUUGUUUUUAAAUAAUUAUGGCCUUAUUUGAAUGUUUAGAGAUUCCCCUUCCCUUCUUCCCUCCCAGGUACAUAUUGUGUGGUACUAUUUUUGCCUGCGUAAUAGAAGUUUAAAUUUUUUUUCCUUGUGAAAUCUUUUGACUUAAACAUGCUGUGUAAGUUAUGUAACUGUUAAAAUAACAGUUUGAUUUAAUAAAUGGUUCAUUUUAAAUGUU
Molecule: long non-coding RNA, 1152 nt
Organism: Fulmarus glacialis (Northern fulmar)
Lineage: Eukaryota; Metazoa; Chordata; Aves; Procellariiformes; Procellariidae
Exons: 2
Source: RefSeq, a predicted model, not a curated record